GCUGCACCGUUUAGAUCGGGAUACUCAUCAUAAAAAUCGAAAACCGAGACAGCUUCUCAUGUCAAUGGCGGGCCACAUACCUUUAGGGUAGCAUUGAAAUGCCGGUGGAUUACAGCGAUAUGAGCGCACUCAAAUCUUGUCAUAAGGAGUUUUCAUCACAUCAAUGGUGUGGCCCUUUU
This 179-nucleotide small RNA is filed under the name uncultured Prevotella sp. RNAcentral describes it as "Bacteroidales-1 6S-Bacteroidales RNA suggested". It matches the Rfam family "Bacteroidales-1 6S-Bacteroidales RNA suggested". The record is from RNAcentral. Lineage: Bacteria; Pseudomonadati; Bacteroidota; Bacteroidia; Bacteroidales; Prevotellaceae.